This 72-nucleotide transfer RNA is filed under the name Loxodonta africana (African savanna elephant). It matches the Rfam family "tRNA". Rfam says of the family: Transfer RNA (tRNA) molecules are approximately 80 nucleotides in length. Their secondary structure includes four short double-helical elements and three loops (D, anti-codon, and T loops). Lineage: Eukaryota; Metazoa; Chordata; Mammalia; Proboscidea; Elephantidae. The record is from Rfam by way of RNAcentral.
GCCAUGGUGGUGCAAAGGUUAAGCACUUGGCUGCUAACCAAAAGGUUGGUGGUUUGAACCCAUCCAUUGGUG